UAAUCCUACGGGGGGCAGCAGUGAGGAAUAUUGGUCAAUGGUCGGGAGACUGAACCAGCCAAGCCGCGUAUGGGAAGAAGGUUUUCGGAUUGUAAACCAUUGUCGUUAGGGAAGAAGAAGUGACAGUACCUAAGGAGGAAGCUCCGGCUAACUAUGUGCCAGCAGCCGCGGUAAUACAUAGGGAGCGAGCGUUAUCCGGAUUUAUUGGGUGUAAAGGGUGCGUAGACGGGAAUACAAGUUGGUUGUGAAAGCCCUCGGCUUAACUGAGGAACUGCAACCAAAACUAUAUUUCUUGAGUAUCGGAG
RNAcentral lists this ribosomal RNA (305 nucleotides) under uncultured bacterium. Its description in RNAcentral is "bacterial SSU rRNA". It matches the Rfam family "Bacterial small subunit ribosomal RNA", at positions 334 to 654 of the family's 1533-position model. The record is from RNAcentral.